Lathyrus oleraceus (garden pea) is the source of this 1719-nucleotide RNA transcript. It is a transcript of the gene named probable sphingolipid transporter spinster homolog 3, with no coding region annotated. The transcript is spliced from 5 exons. The record is from RefSeq and is a predicted model, not a curated record. Lineage: Eukaryota; Viridiplantae; Streptophyta; Magnoliopsida; Fabales; Fabaceae.
AAGGCCAAAUGAAAGGACCAAAGCAAACAUCCCAUUAGCAAACCUCCACGACGGUAAAAACUCAACCGAUUUCGUAUCUUCUCUCUUUGGUAUGCGGAACUCAUCCACAAGUCCUUUGAUAGCUUGAUUUAAGAAGCUUAUGAAGAAUUCUCUGUCGUGUAAGCUCUUUUUCUCUUUGUUAGGCUUUGCUUUUGUGGCAACAAGUACUUUAACUGAGUCUUGACCAUCCACCUCCUUUGUGUAACCAUCCUGACAUCUCCCUGUGCCAAUCUUAACAAAGCAAAAUGGAUCUGUUAGUUCUUGUUGAAUGUGACCGUUAUGGACAGAACCUUUCUUGAGAUUGAAUUUAGGAACUUCGAGGCCAUCAAAUAAUGGAUUGGAUCCAUCUGAUAUACCAUAAGAGUUCCUCAUGAUUGAAGCUGCUACACCAACUGUGAAAGAAUCCCACAUAAAAUAUCUCGUAUAAAAAUUACUGUCAAACCAAGUAUCGCGUGUCAUUUUCAAGGACUUGAGACUGUAUUGUGCUUCGUACGUGUCUUGACUCUUUUCAAAUUCGUCGAAGAAUUGUUCAUUGGAUCGGUGCCGACUACAACGCUCAAUUGCGUACUGGUUUGAGGUAGCUCCCGUCAUAACAAAUGGUUCGGCGAUUCCCUGCAGAGUAGCUCUUGGUCAUGAGUUGGCAUUUUAUGCAGAGUUCACACAUGUUGGAUUAUUUAACCAAGGAGCAAUAACUAGCAAUGGUAUUAUUGGACAUCAUGGAACUUGCAUAGGCGGUACCUGCAAGUCUGAUACAGGGAUACAUGGUGAUUUUAACUUGAAAAAAUUUGAGGAUGGUGUUCUGUCAUCUGCUGCAGUAGGAAGUGUUUGAUAUGGUUGGUCGCAUCAUCGCUUCUGGAUGGAAUCAGUACAGAGAGAUCUGUGGUAGCUAGCUGUGGAAACUGAUAGUUGAUAUCCUUAGCAAGUUUGAGUCUAUUGGCCCAAGAUUCAGCGGUUGGACUACCUAUCACACUGCAAAUCCUCCGACUUGAAAGUGACGGACAUAAGACCAUUCAUUAGAUGCUGCAAAACCUUGUGCUCAGCUUCAGAAGAGAAUAAAGCAGGAUGCAAUUUGUUUUCUGCAGCCAACACAACCUUUAGUUCUGUAUCUCGACUUUCAAUUGUUAAUGAACCUGUGUGUUGUUUUUUCAAUCUUGGAGAUAGAAGCACGGAACAGCUCCAAAUGAGUGCAAACGAGAUUAACAAGAUCCCUUAUCAAAAAAUCAAUCAGAUUUAUAUUUCUCAUGCGUCCUGAAAUUUCACCAAGUACACCAAUAAUUAGUUGCACCAACUCCUCAGGAGCCUCUUUGUCCGGUGUUAAGCGAGAGUACCAAAGAUCUGUUACCCACUCAGAAACCAGAUGUCUAGUGAAGUGAUCAAUUGCAUCCUCAACAACAACUGCUUCCUCUCUCGGAAAAGCAUCAGCACUCCCUUGGCCAUUGAAAAAGGCAAAAAAAAAAAGACAACACCUCCAGAAUUCACGGUUACCUCAAGAGCUUUGUUGAUUUCAUUCUCAGAUUGUUCCUUGCUACUGCUGAUAUGUUAGUUUGAAUUGGAUUUGUAUCUUUUUUUGUUUAGAGUAUUUCAAUAGGUCAUAUCGUAGUGACGUAUGUAAUGUGACAUUGGUAUUGUAACUUGGUUGAGCAAGAAGUAUGAUUGAAAUUUGAAUGUAUGGUUUGAAUA